RNAcentral lists this ribosomal RNA (465 nucleotides) under uncultured bacterium. Its description in RNAcentral is "partial 16S ribosomal RNA". It matches the Rfam family "Bacterial small subunit ribosomal RNA", at positions 28 to 507 of the family's 1533-position model. The record is from RNAcentral.
GACGAACGCUGGCGGCGUGCUUAACACAUGCAAGUCGAACGCUGAACCCGCUUCGGUGGGGGAUGAGUGGCGAACGGGUGAGUAACACGUGGGCAACCUGCCCCCGGCUCUGGGAUAACUCCAAGAAAUUGGGGCUAAUACCGGAUGUGACCGCUGGCCGCAUGGUCUGGCGGUGGAAAGGGUUUCCGGCUGGGGAUGGGCCCGCGGCCUAUCAGCCUGUUGGUGGGGUAGUGGCCGACCAAGGCGACGACGGGGAGCCGGCCGGAGAGGGUGACCGGCCACACUGGGACUGAGGCGCGGCCCAGACUCCUACGGGAGGCAGCAGUGGGGAAUAUUGCGCAAUGGGCGGAAGCCUGACGCAGCGACGCCGCGUGGGGGAUGACGGCCUUCGGGUUGUAACCCUCUUUCAGCAGGGACGAAGCGCAAGUGACGGUACCUGCAGAAGAAGCACCGGCCAACUACGUG